AACGAACGCUGGCGGCAUGCCUAACACAUGCAAGUCGAACGAGACCUUCGGGUCGAGUGGCGCACGGGUGCGUAACGCGUGGGAACCUGCCCUUAGGUUCGGCAUAACUCCCCGAAAGGGGUGCUAAUACCGGAUAAUGUCAUCGGACCAAAGAUUUAUCGCCUUUGGAUGGGCCCGCGUUGGAUUAGCUAGUUGGUAGGGUAAAAGCCUACCAAGGCGACGAUCCAUAGCUGGUCUGAGAGGAUGAUCAGCCACACUGGGACUGAGACACGGCCCAGACUCCUACGGGAGGCAGCAGUGGGGAAUAUUGGACAAUGGGCGAAAGCCUGAUCAAGCAAUGCCGCGUGAGUGAUGAAGGCCUUAGGGUUGUAAAGCUCUUUUACCCGGGAUGAUAAUGACAGUACCGGGAGAAUAAGCGCCGGCUAACUCCGUG
Molecule: ribosomal RNA, 433 nt
Filed under: uncultured bacterium
Lineage: Bacteria
Description: partial 16S ribosomal RNA
Rfam family: Bacterial small subunit ribosomal RNA
Source: RNAcentral